AGACUUGGGGUACCAAAAACAGAAAAUAUUGACCAUGUUGAGGCAGUUAGCUGUCUUGGUCAGCACCCAGGUGUAUCCAUCAACACGGGCACGUUACAUCAAAAUGCAGAUAUGCAUUCCAGAAUGGUGACUGAAGCUCAUCUUUGUAAACACCUAAAUGCCUAGAAUGGACUCCAAAACAGAUUCUUAAAGUUUAACCAGUAUAAUCUUGAAUAUGGACAAAAAGUAUACACUUGGAACACACACAAAAACAGAUGAGUCCAUGCCAAGCUAAAGAUUAAUGCAGAAGGUAAGUUCAAUUUUUCAUUUCGUAACUCUUCUGGUUUUAUCCAGAUCGGACCUUACAUAUAAUUAAGUCAGCUUCAGUAUAUAAUAGAAGAUAUGGAGAUAACGAACAGUAAUCAAUCUCAAAGUCCAUAAAACAAUACAAAAUAAGAGCAGAGCAAACACGGACCCCCG
Long non-coding RNA from Saccostrea cuccullata (small rock oyster), 459 nucleotides. RefSeq lists it as uncharacterized. NCBI's taxonomy places the organism in Eukaryota, Metazoa, Mollusca, Bivalvia, Ostreida, Ostreidae. The transcript is spliced from 4 exons. The record is from RefSeq and is a predicted model, not a curated record.